UUUUAAUGAGAGUUUGAUCCUGGCUCAGGACGAACGCUGGCGGCGUGCCUAAUACAUGCAAGUAGAACGCUGAGGUUUGGUGUUUACACUAGACUGAUGAGUUGCGAACGGGUGAGUAACGCGUAGGUAACCUGCCUCAUAGCGGGGGAUAACUAUUGGAAACGAUAGCUAAUACCGCAUAAGAGUAAUUAACACAUGUUAGUUAUUUAAAAGGAGCAAUU
RNAcentral lists this ribosomal RNA (221 nucleotides) under Streptococcus agalactiae. RNAcentral describes it as "partial 16S ribosomal RNA". It matches the Rfam family "Bacterial small subunit ribosomal RNA", at positions 1 to 215 of the family's 1533-position model. Lineage: Bacteria; Bacillati; Bacillota; Bacilli; Lactobacillales; Streptococcaceae. The record is from RNAcentral.